CGCACGGGUGAGUAACGCGUAUCCAACCUUCCCAUUACUGUGGGAUAACCUGCCGAAAGGCAGACUAAUACCGCAUAGUCUUCGAUGACGGCAUCAGAUUUGAAGUAAAGAUUUAUCGGUAAUGGAUGGGGAUGCGUCUGAUUAGCUUGUUGGCGGGGUAACGGCCCACCAAGGCGACGAUCAGUAGGGGUUCUGAGAGGAAGGUCCCCCACAUUGGAACUGAGACACGGUCCAAACUCCUACGGGAGGCAGCAGUA
This 257-nucleotide ribosomal RNA is filed under the name uncultured Prevotella sp. RNAcentral's name for it is "partial 16S ribosomal RNA". It matches the Rfam family "Bacterial small subunit ribosomal RNA", at positions 99 to 355 of the family's 1533-position model. Lineage: Bacteria; Pseudomonadati; Bacteroidota; Bacteroidia; Bacteroidales; Prevotellaceae. The record is from RNAcentral.